This is a long non-coding RNA of Siniperca chuatsi (mandarin fish), 1764 nucleotides long. RefSeq lists it as uncharacterized. The transcript is spliced from 3 exons. The record is from RefSeq and is a predicted model, not a curated record. NCBI's taxonomy places the organism in Eukaryota, Metazoa, Chordata, Actinopteri, Centrarchiformes, Sinipercidae.
GAGGUUCCAUAUUUUUCUUGCAGAUAUCGAUAGUCAAAGUUGGGGAAGGGGGACGGUGCGGGGAAGGUUCCAGAUUUCCACAACUUCCAGAUGUUGAGCCCGGCCACGCACAGCAGCACGAAGAAGCCCACCAGGGUCGCCAACAAAAACUAACGUGACAAGGGAGGAAACAGAGACUACCAGCAGCCUCCUCUGUGUCUCCAGCUGAAGCAGCUCAGACACAAACAGCAAACCCACUUGCUCAGAGGGCAGCAGAUUCGCCACACUGGAUGUAAAUAGGCCAUAACUGCUGCUGUUUUCUGCUAACAGCCAGGAAGAAAGAAAACAAGAAAUUCCCUCUAUUGGAGCUGCAUGUUAAAACAGGUAAACCAGCAUAUGAGAUGGACGAGUCUCAUCCAGACCGGGCUCCAACCCCGCACCUGGGUCACUGUGAAGUCACAGCCACAGUGUCAGAUCGGCAUGGCCGCAGACAACGUAGACACCGUUUGAGAGAAUCUGAGGGAGGAGGCCAAAGUGAACAAAACAACAUGAAUGAAGAUGAGAGAGAUGGAGUCCUAGAACAUGCAGAAGCUGCAGAAGAAGAGGGAUAUGUGGAUCAAGCAGAGGCAGGAGCUGUGGAAGAGGAGGAAUAUAGUGAACAGACAGAAACAGACAAACCAGCAGCUAAGAGACUUAGAGUAGAAUGCCAGUUCUGUGAGCAAAGCAGUGCAGAACUAACCCGUGUUUUGCAGGAAAAUAGGGAGCUGAGUUGAACAAGUUAAAAGAUGGAUGAAGAAUUUUUCAGAGAUAAUACAGAGAAGGUACGAUAUUAUACAGGACUUCCAUGUUUUGCAAUUUUGUUGUCAAUGUUUGCUACAGUUAAGCCCUUCCUGCCAGUUUCAAAGAAGCUGUCACAAUUUCAAAUGGUUUUACUUGCACUCAUUCGUCUAAGGCUCGAUCUUCCAAUCCAGCAUCUUUCACACAUAUUUAAUGUGUCACGUAGAACUCUUUCUGCUACCUUUGCCGACACCAUCGAUGUGCUGUAUGCACGCCUAUCUCCCUUGUUGUACUGGCCUGAGAGACGCUGUUUACAAGCCACACUGCCACAUCAAUUUUUGGAAGCUUUUGGAAAGCGUGUUGCGAUUAUUGUCGACUGUUUUGAAAUACGUACAGAGAGGCCGUCAAAUUUAAUAAUCCUUUUCCCACUACAAAGGUACACACACAAUGAAAUACUUGAUCGGAAUUACACCCCAAUUUCGCCCUAAUUUCAUUUAUUUCAAAAGGGAUGGGGGGGACGAGCAUCUGACAAGCACAUAACUGAGAAUUGUGGACUUCUUAACAAACUGUUGCCUGGCGAUUUAGUGUUAGCGGACCGAGGCUUUGAUAUUAAAGACAGUGUGGGAAUUAUGUGCGCGGAAGUUAAAACUCCUGCAUUCACUAAAAGCAGAUGUCAACUCGAUGCUAAGGAUGUGGAAGACACACGUGCUAUAGCACACCUUAGGAUACACGUAGAAAGGGUAAUAGGUAGCUUGCGCAAUAAAUACAAACUAUUACAUAACACAGUACCAAUUAGUUUGUUGCUUCCCUGUAAGGAUGAAGAAUUUACCCUUCUUGAUAAGAUUGUUAAUGUUUGCUGUAUUCUAGUUAACAUGUGUCCAAGUGUUGUUGUAAGGCCAGAUGAAACCGAAAAAUGUGCAUGCUGAACGGUAAAAAGACCCUAGGAGAAAUGUUUGUUUUCUAUUUGGUGUGUGUGAGAUUGAGAUUGAACGUGUUUUUUUUUUUUUG